GAUGAACGCUGGCGGCGUGCCUAAUACAUGCAAGUCGAGCGAACAGAUGAGGAGCUUGCUCCUCUGACGUUAGCGGCGGACGGGUGAGUAACACGUGGAUAACCUACCUACAAGACUGGGAUAACUUCGGGAAACCGGAGCUAAUACCGGAUAAUAUAUUGAACCGCAUGGUUCAAUAGUGAAAGACGGUUUUGCUGUCACUUAUAGAUGGAUCCGCGCCGCAUUAGCUAGUUGGUAAGGUAACGGCUUACCAAGGCGACGAUGCGUAGCCGACCUGAGAGGGUGAUCGGCCACACUGGAACUGAGACACGGUCCAGACUCCUACGGGAGGCAGCAGUAGGGAAUCUUCCGCAAUGGGCGAAAGCUUGACGGAGCAACGCCGCGUGAGUGAUGAAGGUCUUCGGAUCGUAAAACUCUGUUAUUAGGGAAGAACAAAUGUGUAAGUAACUAUGCACGUCUUGACGGUACCUAAUCAGAAAGCCACGGCUAACUACGUG
RNAcentral lists this ribosomal RNA (497 nucleotides) under uncultured bacterium. Its description in RNAcentral is "partial 16S ribosomal RNA". It matches the Rfam family "Bacterial small subunit ribosomal RNA", at positions 28 to 507 of the family's 1533-position model. The record is from RNAcentral.